CCUACGGGAGGCAGCAGUGGGGAAUAUUGGACAGUGGGCGCAAGCCUGAUCCAGCAAUGCCGCGUGUGUGAAGAAGGCCUUCGGGUUGUAAAGCACUUCUAUCGGGAGCGAAAUACCAUUGGCUAAUAACCGGUGGGGCUGACGGUACCCGAGGAAUAAGCACCGGCUAACUUCGUGCCAGCAGCCGCGGUAAU
Molecule: ribosomal RNA, 194 nt
Filed under: uncultured bacterium
Lineage: Bacteria
Description: partial 16S ribosomal RNA
Rfam family: Bacterial small subunit ribosomal RNA
Source: RNAcentral